Molecule: ribosomal RNA, 255 nt
Filed under: uncultured bacterium
Lineage: Bacteria
Description: partial 16S ribosomal RNA
Rfam family: Bacterial small subunit ribosomal RNA
Source: RNAcentral
UACGUAGGGGGCAAGCGUUGUCCGGAUUUAUUGGGCGUAAAGCGCGUGUAGGCGGCCAGGUAGGUCGGUUGUGAAAACUGGAGGCUCAACCUCCAGACGUCGACGGAAACCGUGUGGCUAGAGUCCGGAAGAGGAGAGUGGAAUUCCUGGUGUAGCGGUGAAAUGCGCAGAUAUCAGGAAGAACACCAAUGGCGAAGGCAGCUCGUCUGGGACGGUACUGACGCUGAGACGCGAAAGCGUGGGGAGCGAACAGGG